AUUGAACGCUGGCGGAAUGCUUUACACAUGCAAGUCGAACGGUAGAGGGGGCAACCCCUCGAGAGUGGCGAACGGGUGAGUAAUAUAUCGGAACGUGCCCAGUCGUGGGGGAUAACGUAGUGAAAAUUACGCUAAUACCGCAUACGAUCUAAGAAUGAAAGCGGGGGAUCGCAAGACCUAGCGCGAUUGGAGCGGCCGAUAUCAGAUUAGGUAGUUGGUAGGGUAAAGGCCUACCAAGCCAACGAUCUGUAGCUGGGCUGAGAGGACGACCAGCCACACUGGAACUGAGACACGGUCCAGACUCCUACGGGAGGCAGCAGUGGGGAAUUUUGGACAAUGGGCGAAAGCCUGAUUCAGCCAUUCCGCGUGCAGGAUGAAGGCCCUCGGGUUGUAAACUGCUUUUGUACAGAACGAAAAGGUCUCUAUUAAUACUAGGGGCUCAUGACGGUACUGUAAGAAUAAGCACCGGCUAACUACGUGCCAGCCGCCGCCGUAA
RNAcentral lists this ribosomal RNA (496 nucleotides) under uncultured bacterium. RNAcentral's name for it is "partial 16S ribosomal RNA". It matches the Rfam family "Bacterial small subunit ribosomal RNA", at positions 30 to 523 of the family's 1533-position model. The record is from RNAcentral.